RNAcentral lists this long non-coding RNA (675 nucleotides) under Venturia canescens. Its description in RNAcentral is "uncharacterized LOC122409297". Lineage: Eukaryota; Metazoa; Arthropoda; Insecta; Hymenoptera; Ichneumonidae. The record is from RNAcentral.
GCAUUCAUGCUGUUUUUUUGGGAUAUCGUGAACCUAAACCUGAAUAUAGAAGACCAAUGGAGUUUAUACCUUCAUACCCACCGCCAUCAAUGCAAUGUGAAAUGAUAAGAUAAUAUUACAGGUAGAUUGCAUUGGAAUGUCGAAUUUGUAAUUAGAUUCGCUCAUUAUCGUAGGAUGUCGACCGUACUCCACUGUGCAAUACUCAUUACCGUACCAGCAACUGAUGAGCGCGGUGUUACUAGGGUGCGACAAAUACGUUUCUGCUUAAUUCAAAUUUUCAUGUGUUUUUGACUAUAAAAUUUGAAUAUUGAAUAAAUAUAGUUGUGUGCUCUUAAAAAAUAACAAUACGAAACUGCUCUGUAAAUGGAUGCCCAGAAACAAAAUCCAUCAUGGAAUGGUGACCAAAACCAACAAGAUUCAUCACGGAUUGGUGACCAAAAAUCAACCUCGUCAGUCAAAGUAGAUAACAAACAAGUUGAGCAAGUCAGACCAUCACGAUGGAAGCGUGCAGGAAAAAAAUGCCGAAAAAACGAAGAAGAUGCUCAAAAACGACUCCAAUACUUAUUAAAACAAUUAUCGACUCCUCGUCGCUAUAAUUGAAAAAAGCUAACAUGUAGAUCUCAUUCAAGGUUUAAAAAGAAUAAAAAAUGAGUAAAAUUAGUUGAAACCCAUAAA